CAACGGCCAAUCACAAACCGCCUCAGCACCGGACGCACUGCGACCGGCUGCCACCUACUGGAAGGCGUCUGUAUUACCGACGCGGAUUAACUUGGCAGGGGUGAUGUAUUCAUUUCAGCGCCUCCAGAGAAAUCCCAUUAGAAAUUAUUUUCUGUCUACCGCACUUCAGAUCUCACUAGAGAUGCGGUAAAAAAUAGAGAACCCCAAACAACGCCUUCCAGAGAGGUGCGAAGCGAGCUGUGACUUCCCCUCGUGAGUAACCAGAGCUGAGCGGACCAGCUGGAGGAGUGAGGAGCACAGCAGAAAUUGACGCCGGUGAGGAGAUCAGACGGAACAUCAGAAGGUGUGUUAUGGAUCGCACGACAUGUGAUGAACUGGCGGAUUUGGAAACGAGAUUUUUUCUGAGAAAUCAGGA
Molecule: non-coding RNA, 415 nt
Organism: Lepisosteus oculatus (spotted gar)
Lineage: Eukaryota; Metazoa; Chordata; Actinopteri; Semionotiformes; Lepisosteidae
Source: RefSeq, a predicted model, not a curated record